Mycena latifolia is the source of this 90-nucleotide non-coding RNA. The record is from the annotation of a GenBank genome assembly. NCBI's taxonomy places the organism in Eukaryota, Fungi, Basidiomycota, Agaricomycetes, Agaricales, Mycenaceae.
GACCCAGUGGCGGACGGUACGGCACCCGCGCCGUUUAAAUAAAUAAAAAAUGGGCUGUGGAUGGUCCUGGUUCAAUUCCAGGCUGGGUCA